Molecule: ribosomal RNA, 432 nt
Filed under: uncultured bacterium
Lineage: Bacteria
Description: partial 16S ribosomal RNA
Rfam family: Bacterial small subunit ribosomal RNA
Source: RNAcentral
ACGAACGCUGGCGGCAUGCCUAACACAUGCAAGUCGCACGAGACCUUCGGGUCUAGUGGCGCACGGGUGCGUAACGCGUGGGAACCUGCCCUUAGGUUCGGAAUAACUCCCCGAAAGGGGUGCUAAUACCGGAUAAUGUCUUCGGACCAAAGAUUUAUCGCCUUUGGAUGGGCCCGCGUUGGAUUAGCUAGUUGGUAGGGUAAAAGCCUACCAAGGCGACGAUCCAUAGCUGGUCUGAGAGGAUGAUCAGCCACACUGGGACUGAGACACGGCCCAGACUCCUACGGGAGGCAGCAGUGGGGAAUAUUGGACAAUGGGCGAAAGCCUGAUCCAGCAAUGCCACGUGAGUGAUGAAGGCCUUAGGGUUGUAAAGCUCUUUUACCCGGGAUGAUAAUGACAGUACCGGGAGAAUAAGCUCCGGCUAACUCCGUG